Molecule: non-coding RNA, 4881 nt
Organism: Delphinapterus leucas (beluga whale)
Lineage: Eukaryota; Metazoa; Chordata; Mammalia; Artiodactyla; Monodontidae
Source: RefSeq, a predicted model, not a curated record
ACACUGUUGCUUGUUGCUACCACUGGCAACCAACAUAGUUGUGCACAGGGAACUAGAUUGUACUUACACUGUGAAGUAUAAUUUGUGGUUUAAAAUCAUAGACUUCUAUAGUAAAUGAGAGUCUCAGACCACAGAUUUUUAAACGUCUGGACUUAAUUUGUAUUCAGGCCCUCAUUCUACCAGUCACAGUAAUUUGUGGUUUCCCCUUUUCUGUUUCUCUGGGAUGAUGUCCAAUUUCUGAGGGCAAGCACUGAUUAGAUUUGGGGUCCUGUGUCAUCAAUCCAGGAAGACAGGUGAAGAGUCAUGCCCCAGUGUCACCCUCAAUGCCCCUCCAGAGCCAGGGUCUCCUGCUGCUUCUGGCCCACUCCAGACCACAGGAGAGUUAGGCCAUCCUACACCAACAGCUCCUAGAAAUCCUCUGUACUCUUCCUAACUGCGUUGGAGUACGGCCUUCUCCAAGCAAGACCUCUCCACACAUCCCCUAAGCCUUCAAUGUUCAUGGCCGAUCAAGGGGCAUAUCAUUUGGCGGGAAAAUGGCAUUUCAGUGGCUGGAUCUGGUGGUGCUGGAGCCAUUUCUCUCUACAGAAAGAGGUUCGAUACUUAGAGGACCCCUUAGUCCGAAUCAGCAGGUGUAAGCCUCAUUCUUCGCUUUUCAGGUGUUCUUCUGCUGUCCAGAAAAUCGAAUCUACAAGAAAGUACAACAAGCCUGCAUUCUUUCCCUUUCCCUCUGUUUCGGGAUGACCAAUCUUACAGAAUUUUGUUGCAGUUCUUCAGUCACAGCUUCAUCGUUGUCUGUGAUUUUGCAAGCUGGCCAUGACGUCUGAAUCUGAUUAUUCCACCCUGGGUUACAGCCACUGCUUCCAGGGCACUUGGCUCUAUUUGUAGGACUUUUUAUCAAUUCAUGACUGUCUGCGUAUUCCUGGAGAUUCUAGAUAAGCCUUCCCAUAUUCUGGGCUCAAAUUUUGACUUACAAAUCGGGUGCCUAAAAAAUGUAACUUAUGUUCCAAAAUUUCAUGUCUAAUUUGAGGCACCAUUCCAUCAGGGUGAUAGACAUUUCAUAUGAAUUUAGGGUUCUUCCUUCCUCACUUUCCUAGGGCAGCAUUUAAGUUCUGUGGGCACAUGGCAACAAGGCACAGAGGGAAGGAUGCUGCAGGAGUAGGUCUCAGCAUCACUGACAGCCGGCUGAGAGGUCCGGAGACCUCUGGUCUUUGGUCAAGUCUGUAGUUGGACAUGUGGACUGUUCCCAUUCCAUGUAUGUCUGUGACGAUCUAAGGCGGUUUUCACUUACAAAAGAACAUUCAUGGCUUUAAUGUUCCAGGAACAUGGAUUACAAAUACAGAAAAAAUCAUUAAAGAGGUUGCUUAGGUUAGUGGAUCAGACUUGGAAUAGGAAAAGAAGUAUUGUUCCGGAAGCUUCUGCCAUAGCGUAGUAAUAUGCUCGGAGGAGCCCUGUGUGAGCUUAUUUUUUGCUCCCAAGAUGAGGAAGAUUGUAGAUAUAAAUAGUUUAUUUUCAGGAAAGGACCCUCAAAGGAAACUUUCAUCAUUUAACCACUCUUCAGUUGCUCCAAGAAGAUAAAAGUACAACCUCCAAACCUUGAAAAUCAGGUCAAAUCUUCCUAAACCCUGGAGUUGUGGGGAUGCAGAAGAAGCAGGACGCCCAUGAGACAGGUGUUAUUAUUCCUGCUUUCAGAUCACCGACCGAUGGUCCGAGGUGGGAUUUCCAUGGAAAACGUAAUGAAAAUAUGACUCGUCUUCCUGCUUCGUUCUUCCCUGGUCUCAGAGUCGGAGGGAGGCUGUAUGGAGGAAGUUGAGACCGCAAGAAAGGCUCCCGCCUGUGUUUUCUCCUUGCUCCUUCUGCGACUUGCCGAAUCUGGUGCUUCCACACGUGGCCUUGCACAGCGUGACUGCCCUCUCCUCUUGGGAACAGCGAAAUGCAUUCUCUCUGGUAACAAAUGAAGAUGGAGUGGCGAGGCUUGCUGUGAAGGGAACACGAGCCGUCACCAGGGCAGGAAAGGUCAGUCGUGGGUUGCCAUGGAAGUUUCGGCAACGGCUGCACCACCGAAGGCUAUUUCAAAGAAAUGGUUGUAAAACGUGACCAAAGCCCCUGCAAGCCAGAGUGCAUCACAGAUUGGCACAAAUGUUUAUGGAGGCCAAAGGUUUGGAUACCUGUUUGAGGCCAAGAUAGAGAAAAAGAGGCUGAGUUGGAAAACCUUGUGACCUGGAGGGAGAGAACGGGCUCCAGAGGAAGGGCAUUAGGCCAAGUGUGAAAAAGAAAUGAAAACAUGAAGAGUCUGUUAAUGAAUGUGAGAUGCUGGAAUAAAGGAGUCUUUGCUCUUCAGCUAUGUGGCAUUGAUCCCACUAAUGGUUUGGCUUCUGAGGAGAGAAAAUCUUUGAUCCGCUCAGCCCCUGUCUACUCGAUGAUAAUGGGAUGAAAAUAAUGCAUAUAAAACAAUUAAUAUACUAUUAAUAAGUUACCCCUUCCUGGGAACAUAGUGCCUUCAGCCAAUGAACAUGCUCCAGAUCAGGUGCCUUGACCAUCCAUAGGGAAGUUGGGGGAAGCGAAACCAAUAAUAACAGUGUAGGACCCAGGCCUCCUGAACCAGCAUGGACCCUGUCACCCCUGUGGCUUUUCUGAAGAUGCAACCCAAAAUCCUUGAGGAGGAGUGCAGGAACCGCAGUGGGCAGAAGGACCGCAUUUCACGGAAAUACUGGUCCAGCAACGCGUCACCCUUCCCGGCCACCCGCCGCCCGUGGAGCCGUGCUGAGCCGUGACCGUGGAACACGGGCAGCCCGAUGCUGAGGACCACCAGUGAUGUGGAAAAGUGGGGACGAGCUAAUGAAAACGGAAGAGGAUGUUGAAACAUUGCUGUCUUCAUGUUCAACUCUGGGGCCAUUGGAGACUUGGGCCUCAGAGAAGUGGGAGAAGGAGGCGCCUUCAGGAUUCACGUCCACCAUCAUCUCCUGAAGAUGACGAGGGGAUGAGGAGUGAAGGGCCUGCUUUCAUAUCCAGCUGGGAUGUGACCGGCUUCCAGCCUGGAGCUCUGAGCAUCCCGCAGGCUCUCAAGGCAUCGCAACAGAUGUGCAGGGAACACAGCGGAUACCAAGCCCACAGGCCUGCCCCUUCCCAAACUCCUGCCUCACGGAGCUUUGUAGAGGAGAUCAUCACCACAGAAUUGAAGAUACAGUCAGGGUUUAAUUAAGCUUGGACUUGAGGCUUCAAGUUGUUUGAAAACUUGAGAUUUACAACAAAACGACCCAAGUAACCUAUAUAACCAGUGAAACAGCCGGGCAUUCACAGCAGUCUGUGCUGAACUUGGACUGGACCUGGAAACCCAGACAACCCUUGCAAAGCCUUCCAAAGCCUUAUCAUCUUCCAGAACGCCUUACGCACAGAAAAUAAAUAAAAAUGUAGUUCCGUAUAACACCGCAAGAAAACUUUUGCAAAGGCAACUCUUCAUCAGCCACGUGUGGGCUGAGAGGAAGGUUUGGAAUUCUGAGGAUUCCCAGACUUGGAGUGAAUCCACACCCACGUACCACAUCCUUCUCAUGGGACCUUCACUGGGUGCAUGGUAGCAGCACCAAGGCAGGAAAGGAGUCCGCUGAGGACACAGACAUGCAAGCAAACACCUGUAGUAGAAAUUGGAAGUGUGACCUUCACCUGGGGAAACUUGGAGAAGAAGCUGGCAACUGUGGUGGGACCUACAGGAUGAGUGGGCACGAGUGUGUCAUCUGCUGGAUUUGGCCGUAAUGAGUAAAGCUGAGGUGGAUAUUCACACACAAGUCUGUAAGCACGUCCCCUGGAAGCACGUAGAAGUGUGAUCCUGGACAGCACAGACAUGUGAAUCCCGGCUCUGGGGGAAACAGCAUCGUAUGUUGGACGGUGAUUCAGCACAGUCAGUCUUCUGGAGAACUUUGCCCCACCCUGCAAGAUAUCAGCCGUCUGGCUUGUGCUGUAAUUGAGUCUUCAAAAUGCCAUUCCAUCUUUCUGUCAAGCCAGCUGCUUCAGGAUGGUGGGGAACAUAGUAAGACCAGUGAAUUCCACGGGCGUGGGCCCGUUGCCAUGCUUUGUCUUCUGCGAAGUGAGUUCCUUGACCAGAAGCAGUGCCGUGUGGUGUACCAUGACAGUGGAUAAGGCAUUCUGGUUGGUAGUUUUGUCAGAAGCACUGCAUGGGGAAGGUACACCUGUAUCCAGAUUAAAGGUCUAUUCCGGUAAGGACAAAGCACAUCCUCUUCCAGGAUGGAAGUGGUCCAGUGCGGUCAACCUGCUGACUGAUGACCCCAGGGAAUGGUGCCAUAUUAAUGGCUCAGUGUUGGUCUCUGUGCUGGCAGACUGGACACUCAGUGAUUAAUGAUUAAUCACAUCUACAAAAUACCUUCACAGAAACACUGCGGAAGGGGAUGGAAGUGGGUUUUGUUCUUCAGGGAUAAAUGAAAUAAUGGAGUUGAUGAUUUAUCAUCUAUCACCUAUGUAUUAAUGAGCCAUUUGAGAAGUCUGUUCUUAGCGAUGCAGGCACUGACUCACCAGUGGAAUCACAAAAGGGAGUUCAAGGCUUGGGUGUGCAAAGUGAGUGUUCAUCUGUGUCUGGGAACACAGUGGAGUAACUUACAUGGAAAACCUUCACCACCCAGAAAUACUGGUUACAAUGGACCAUGUAUUUUCUAAAAAACACAGGGAGUUGAGCCAUUCAAUAAGCAUGUUACUAAACACCAUCUGGGGAUGGAGUGACGAACCCAGUGUGGUUCUGCCUGAAGAAAUAUAUGGAAUAAAUGAACACCUCAGUCCGGUCAGAGUGGCCAUCAUCAAAAAAACUACAAAUAAUAAAUGCUGGAGAGGGUGUGGAGAAAAGGGAACCCUCCUUACACUGUUGGUGGGAAUGUGAAU